CGUGCUCAGGAGACAUGAAGUUCAGUCACAGCAAAGACCAUAAAGCAGCAUGAUGUUUCCCUCAAAGAUGCUUGUAGGUGGAUCUGACUGUGGCCAAUCAACACCUGCGCCUUGCCGCCCUGAUCAGAUACCCAGCUGGGAUAAUGAGCUCGCCAAAGGAGAAGACUGAAAGCACUGACACGAGGAAGGAACGAGUCAGAGGACCAGUGAGUGUCAGCAGAACCACUGUUCAGGACGAGACCACAGACAUCAGCCACAACUGACCGUGUACUUAGUGAAUACCUCAGACAGCAGAAAGCAGAGAAAGAGGAGGAGCAAGGAGAGCAGCCAUGAUGAAAGGACAGGUAUGUACCAGCAGCAGAUAGAGGAAGUGGCUCUAUAGAUAUUUAUAGUCAGUCCUCAUGCAUAUGCUGUGCAUAUAGUAAGUGUCUGUCAUGAAGGUGUCAUAUGUGCAUAUCUGUGGUCAGUAAAGCUGAUUGUGAUUAAUAGCUACACUACAGAGAGCCCAAAGAGUUGUUGCAUUGCUUGUUAGCCUUGUUUAGGGAGGGCUGGGGUUUCUUUGGAGCCCCAAUUCAUUAAAGUUAGUUCGGCACCAAGUGAAAAGAAUCCCUGAAGACUCAGCACAGAAAGUGUGGGACAGAAGUUUGCUGUGGAGACAUGGACUGAGUUAGAAAACUAGCCAACAUGAUUUAUAACGGACAGUCAUCAUUAAUGAUGGAGAACUGAAAGGACAUGAAGGCUGCGCUGUUAGAUUUUUUGAUAGCUGGAAACUUUAACUGUCAUCAGAAAACAUAAAAUAUUCUGGAUCCUC
This 811-nucleotide long non-coding RNA is filed under the name Oreochromis niloticus (Nile tilapia). RNAcentral describes it as "lncRNA (ENSONIG00000025549.2)". The record is from RNAcentral. Lineage: Eukaryota; Metazoa; Chordata; Actinopteri; Cichliformes; Cichlidae.